AAAGUCUUCCGGUUCCGGGGGAAGUAUGGUUGCAAAGCUGAAACUUAAAGGAAUUGACGGAAGGGCACCACCAGGAGUGGAGCCUGCGGCUUAAUUUGACUCAACACGGGGAAACUCACCCGGCCCGGACACCGUAAGGAUUGACAGAUUGAUAGCUCUUUCAUGAUUCGGUGGUUGGUGGUGCAUGGCCGUUCUUAGUUCGUGGAUCGAUUUGUCUGGUUUAUUCCGAUAACGAGCGAGACUCUAGCCUACUAAAUAGUGACGGAAUUGCUUCGCGCUGUUCCGCUUGCUUCUUAGAGGGAUUUUCGGUGUUUAGCCGCACGAGAUUGAGCAAUAACAGGUCUGUGAUGCCCUUAGAUGUCCGGGGCUGCACGCGCGCUACACUGGCGAAAUCAGCGUGCUGUAUCCAUUCUCGAAAGGGAUUGGUAAACCCAUGAAAAUUUGCCGUGCUUGGGAUCGGAAAUUGCAAUUAUUUUCCGUGAACGAGGAAUUCCAAGUAAGUGCGAGUCAUCA
RNAcentral lists this ribosomal RNA (513 nucleotides) under Acrobeles sp. GSb31. RNAcentral describes it as "SSU rRNA". It matches the Rfam family "Eukaryotic small subunit ribosomal RNA", at positions 1100 to 1633 of the family's 1831-position model. Lineage: Eukaryota; Metazoa; Nematoda; Chromadorea; Rhabditida; Cephalobidae. The record is from RNAcentral.